UCGUAACAAGGUCUCCGUAGGUGAACCUGCGGAGGGAUCAUUACACAAUAAAAUACGAAGGCCGUUCGCGGCUGGACUAUUUAUUACCCUUGUCUUUUGCGCACUUGUUGUUUCCUGGGCGGGUUCGCUCGCCACCAGGACCACAAUAUAAACCUUUUUUAUGCAGUUGCAAUCAGCGUCAGUAUAACAAAUGUAAAUCAUUUACAACUUUCAACAACGGAUCUCUUGGUUCUGGCAUCGAUGAAGAACGCAGCGAAAUGCGAUACGUAGUGUGAAUUGCAGAAUUCAGUGAAUCAUCGAAUCUUUGAACGCACAUUGCGCCCUUUGGUAUUCCAAAGGGCAUGCCUGUUCGAGCGUCAUUUGUACCCUCAAGCUUUGCUUGGUGUUGGGCGUUUUUGUCUUUGGCCCGCCAAAGACUCGCCUUAAAAUGAUUGGCAGCCGGCCUACUGGUUUCGCAGCGCAGCACAUUUUUGCGCUUGCAAUCAGCAAAAGAGGACGGCAAUCCAUCAAGACUCCUUCUCACGUUUGACCUCGGAUCAGGUAGGGAUACCCGCUGAACUUAAGCAUAUCAAUAA
RNAcentral lists this unclassified non-coding RNA (575 nucleotides) under Curvularia spicifera. RNAcentral's name for it is "sequence contains 18S rRNA gene, ITS1, 5.8S rRNA gene, ITS2, 28S rRNA gene". The stretch from base 206 to 359 matches the Rfam family "5.8S ribosomal RNA". Lineage: Eukaryota; Fungi; Ascomycota; Dothideomycetes; Pleosporales; Pleosporaceae. The record is from RNAcentral.